AUGCUCCUAGGACUCGCUUCCCCGUCCAUAACACGGGAUGCCGUCCGCUCCAGCCCACAGGGCCGCCCCCGACAUGAGCCGCCUCAAUCCGCCACUGACUGUCACCCGCGGGCCACGGCGCGCACCAACCGACGCUGCUGCUUCCUAUUCCAGCGACCUCGGGGCCCCCGGGUGGGCGCGGGCGCCGCCUCCCGGGUGACGUCAUCCGGGAGCGACCCCCAGGCGCGCCGGCCCAGGCGGCGGCGGUGGCGGCGGCGGCUUUGCGGUCUAGGUCUCAGCGCACCGGGGCGCGGCGGCGACCGGCCCGGACGGCGGGGGGAGGAGCUACGCCAAGUGCGAAGAGCCAAGGAAAUGCUGCGGCUCGGAGGCCGCAGGGGCAGUCCUAUGGGGAAGUUCCGAUGGGCAGUGUGAUGCAACGGCUCAUGUACUACUGGGUGCUCAUCGGUGCACCUAUUGCACCCACCGCCCAUCCGCAUGAAGAGUCAUUUUAAAUCUCCAGUGCGGGACACAUAGCAGACACACUGCACCCGUGUUCCCUAUUCUGAAUAUAACUUAGUUGAAUUAAUAGUUGCUGGUUGAUAACUUACAGCAAAUCUUGAUUUUUUGUUUUUCACUUGAUAUAAUUGAACUGAUUGUGCAUGUACUAUGGCUUUUGAGAAAAUUAAAUCUGGUCACAAAAAAUAGCUUUUUUUUUUUUUUUAAACCAACAGCUAGACUGAGUGUAAAUGAUACAAUAGGAAAGACAGGACUAGUUUCAUGGGGGUAUAAGCCCGAAAACAGGGUUCAUAUCUCAGAAGGACCCUGCACUUGGUUUAACUCUCUGCUUGGUGAAAUUAUUUCCUAUUCCACAUUGUUAAUACUUUUUUUUUUUAACACGGAUUUCCCAUAUUUUCCUAUUGCACUGAGCCCUGCAAAUCAUGUGGUUGAUGCUGUUGAAAUGACCUCUGUGAUAAGGUGACUUAUAAACAUGGAUGCAAGAAUCUGUCCCGUGGCCCAUUGACCUGUGGACUGACCUACCCUGUGGGCCGAACCUGUGGACCUGCAGAUCGAUUGAGACUCAGUCCAAAAAUAAUGUUUAUCUAAUCAAAAUAAAGAUUGUAUUCUGAGAAACUAUUGAAUUGAA
Molecule: long non-coding RNA, 1123 nt
Filed under: Vulpes vulpes (red fox)
Lineage: Eukaryota; Metazoa; Chordata; Mammalia; Carnivora; Canidae
Description: lncRNA (ENSVVUG00000028339.1)
Source: RNAcentral